AGCGAACGCUGGCGGCAGGCCUAACACAUGCAAGUCGAACGAACUCUUCGGAGUUAGUGGCGGACGGGUGAGUAACACGUGGGAACGUGCCUUUAGGUUCGGAAUAACUCAGGGAAACUUGUGCUAAUACCGAAUGUGCCCUUCGGGGGAAAGAUUUAUCGCCUUUAGAGCGGCCCGCGUCUGAUUAGCUCGUUGGUGAGGUAAAGGCUCACCAAGGCGACGAUCAGUAGCUGGUCUGAGAGGAUGAUCAGCCACAUUGGGACUGAGACACGGCCCAAACUCCUACGGGAUGCAGCAGUGGGGAAUCUUGCGCAAUGGGCGAAAGCCUGACGCAGCCAUGCCGCGUGAAUGAUGAAGGUCUUAGGAUUGUAAAAUUCUUUCACCGGGGACGAUAAUGACGGUACCCGGAGAAGAAGCCCCGGCUAACUUCGUG
RNAcentral lists this ribosomal RNA (433 nucleotides) under uncultured bacterium. RNAcentral's name for it is "partial 16S ribosomal RNA". It matches the Rfam family "Bacterial small subunit ribosomal RNA", at positions 29 to 507 of the family's 1533-position model. The record is from RNAcentral.